RNAcentral lists this ribosomal RNA (268 nucleotides) under uncultured bacterium. Its description in RNAcentral is "partial small subunit ribosomal RNA". It matches the Rfam family "Bacterial small subunit ribosomal RNA", at positions 26 to 282 of the family's 1533-position model. The record is from RNAcentral.
AGAAUCAACGCUGGCGGCGUGCCUAACACAUGCAAGUCGAACGCGAAAGUCCCGAAAGGGAUAAGUAGAGUGGCAAACGGGUGAGUAACACGUGGGUGACCUGCCUUCGAGCGGGGGAUAACGUCCCGAAAGGGACGCUAAUACCGCAUAACAUCCUGCCUUUUAAGAGGUGGAGAUCAAAGCCGGGACCGCAAGGCCUGGCACUUGAAGAGGGGCCCGCGUCUGAUUAGCUAGUUGGUGGGGUAAUGGCCUACCAAGGCAACGAUCA